This 497-nucleotide ribosomal RNA is filed under the name uncultured bacterium. Its description in RNAcentral is "partial 16S ribosomal RNA". It matches the Rfam family "Bacterial small subunit ribosomal RNA", at positions 28 to 507 of the family's 1533-position model. The record is from RNAcentral.
GAUGAACGCUGGCGGCGUGCCUAAUACAUGCAAGUCGAGCGAACAGACGAGGAGCUUGCUCCUCUGACGUUAGCGGCGGACGGGUGAGUAACACGUGGAUAACCUACCUAUAAGACUGGGAUAACUUCGGGAAACCGGAGCUAAUACCGGAUAAUAUAUUGAACCGCAUGGUUCAAUAGUGAAAGACGGUUUUGCUGUCACUUAUAGAUGGAUCCGCGCCGCAUUAGCUAGUUGGUAAGGUAACGGCUUACCAAGGCGACGAUGCGUAGCCGACCUGAGAGGGUGAUCGGCCACACUGGAACUGAGACACGGUCCAGACUCCUACGGGAGGCAGCAGUCGGGAAUCUUCCGCAAUGGGCGAAAGCUUGACGGAGCAACGCCGCGUGAGUGAUGAAGGUCUUCGGAUCGUAAAACUCUGUUAUUAGGGAAGAACAAAUGUGUAAGUAACUAUGCACGUCUUGACGGUACCUAAUCAGAAAGCCCCGGCUAACUACGUG